RNAcentral lists this unclassified non-coding RNA (357 nucleotides) under soil metagenome. RNAcentral's name for it is "partial contains 5.8S ribosomal RNA, internal transcribed spacer 2, and large subunit ribosomal RNA". The stretch from base 1 to 120 matches the Rfam family "5.8S ribosomal RNA", at positions 35 to 154 of the family's 154-position model. The record is from RNAcentral.
GAUGAAGAACGUAGCGAAAUGCGAUAAGUAAUGUGAAUUGCAGAAUUCAGUGAAUCAUCGAAUCUUUGAACGCACAUUGCGCCCGCCAGUAUUCUGGCGGGCAUGCCUGUCCGAGCGUCAUUUCAACCCUCGAACCCCUCCGGGGGGUCGGCGUUGGGGACCUCGGGAGCCCCUAAGACGGGAUCCCGGCCCCGAAAUACAGUGGCGGUCUCGCCGCAGCCUCUCCUGCGCAGUAGUUUGCACAACUCGCACCGGGAGCGCGGCGCGUCCACGUCCGUAAAACACCCAACUUCUGAAAUGUUGACCUCGGAUCAGGUAGGAAUACCCGCUGAACUUAAGCAUAUCAAUAAGCGAGGA